Raphanus sativus (radish) is the source of this 1623-nucleotide long non-coding RNA. RefSeq lists it as uncharacterized. The transcript is spliced from 3 exons. The record is from RefSeq and is a predicted model, not a curated record. NCBI's taxonomy places the organism in Eukaryota, Viridiplantae, Streptophyta, Magnoliopsida, Brassicales, Brassicaceae.
UCCCUUUCUGCUCUUUUGCAUAGGCCUGACAAUACUUCACCGCACAGAAUGAAUAGGUAGGGAGACAGGGGAUCACUCUGUUUGAUGCCUCUUUCCGGUUUAACAUAUCCUUGUGCUGUUUCAUUGAUAAGAUAGGAGUAGGAUACUGUCGUUAGGCAUUGCAUUAUCAGACUUGUCCAAAUUGGGCUCCCAUUAACAUAAACCCGAGCGGUACCGUCAUCCUAACGCGAAUAAGAAAAUAGAAGCUAAUUAGUUAAGGAACAAGUUUGUGUCAUUGUGAUAUGAAAACACAUAUUACCAAAUACCAAGAAACCUCCUUACGGUACAAUUUCCUCCGGCUUAUAACGAAUUUGGCCCGAAGCAACACAAAAAAAGAGAGAGAUUGAUUUCAAGACUGAAGAAACACAAUCCAAAAGAAAACCACGGACAACAUUUACCGUUUCCUCAGAAGAAAAAAAACACACAAAAUGCCACUACGGGUGUUGUCUAUGGGUGAAUUUGGUCCAACUGUUCCAAAUAUCACAACAAUAGGGUUGCACAAUGCCUCCUUUUAGAGACGAUCCCCUGAAAAUUUAGAUAAAUCUUAAAAAUAUCCAAUCCUUUCAGCUCGUCUAUGCGUGCUCUGGCAAGAUUCUGAGCUUUCCUCUGCCAAAGAAUAAAAAUCAGAUCAAAAAAAAUCUCUGAGCAGAGAAAUUGAUUCGACUAACAUCUUUUUGCUGCUGCUGGAAAAUCUCAGUCCGAUUGGCAAAGCCAAUGCAUAAGGCAGCAGCAACAGCAAAUUUAAAGGACUGUGGGCUUUUGUUUAUCCAGCCCAUAAUUGCUCAAGCUGCUAGUUCAAAGUCCGGAAUUAGUGUUUCAUCCUCAAGGUGCUCUCGAUCUUAAUAGUUAAGGUUUGCUUAUGUGUAAGACUGUCAAGUUUGUGUUGCCUGAGUUCCUUCCCUUGCAUUACCUAAUUCAACAGACAAGUAAGACAUGCAUAAAAGGUUCUCCGUUGCAGGUUUCUGGUCAAAAGAUAAGAUUUGUCUUCUUGCUAGUUAUGUUGCUUAAGCUUAAAGAACAGCAUUUGAUAUAUUAUAGAGAGAUUUCACGUGCUUAGACUGAAACUCUCUUUACAGAAUUUGGUUAUAAUCCUUCCUUCUCUUGUACUAGGUCUAUGAUGAUACCAAAGAAGAUACUGUAGAAAGGUUUGCACAUACUACAAGCUAGAAUCCAUUCCUGUUGUGCUUAUAAUUGAUCCUACUACCACUGGUCAAAGGAUGAGAAUGUGGUGUGGAAUGGUCGAGCCAGAAACUUUGCUAGAGGAUUUAGUGCCGUUCAUGGACAGUUGUCCUGGCGAACACUUUGCUUCUCUCUCAAAGAAACGGCCAAGAGGCAGCUUCUCAUUAACUCUCCUAACUCCAAACCCAAUGAGGCUGUUGCAAAAUAUGAGGAAGAAGAAUAACUGCAACGAGCACUAGUUACAACAACGGUGCUACCAACUUUCCCACCUCUGCCUGAAGAACCAAAGGGAGGUGACCGCAAAUCUCAAAACCGAUACAUGGGAAUGACAAAGAUCAUAUCUACUAAACUAUCUAAGAUGCUAUGUUAGGAUAGUUGUUUUAAAAUAUACCAAAAUUUUAAUUU